This 474-nucleotide ribosomal RNA is filed under the name Pseudomonas sp. GTIN-G4. Its description in RNAcentral is "bacterial SSU rRNA". It matches the Rfam family "Bacterial small subunit ribosomal RNA", at positions 29 to 497 of the family's 1533-position model. Lineage: Bacteria; Pseudomonadati; Pseudomonadota; Gammaproteobacteria; Pseudomonadales; Pseudomonadaceae. The record is from RNAcentral.
AAUGAACGCUGGCGGCAGGCCUAACACAUGCAAGUCGAGCCGGUAGAGAAAAGCUUGCUUUUCUUGAGAGCGGCGGACGGGUGAGUAAUGCCUAGGAAUCUGCCUGUUAGUGGGGGAUAACGUUCGGAAACGGACGCUAAUACCGCAUACGUCCUACGGGAGAAAGUGGGGGAUCUUCGGACCUCACGCUAACAGAUGAGCCUAGGUCGGAUUAGCUAGUAGGUGAGGUAAUGGCUCACCUAGGCGACGAUCCGUAGCUGGUCUGAGAGGAUGAUCAGCCACACUGGAACUGAGACACGGUCCAGACUCCUACGGGAGGCAGCAGUGGGGAAUAUUGGACAAUGGGCGAAAGCCUGAUCCAGCCAUGCCGCGUGUGUGAAGAAGGUCUUCGGAUUGUAAAGCACUUUAAGUUGGGAGGAAGGUCUGUAAGCUAAUAUCUUGCAGUCUUGACGUUCCAACAGAAUAAGCACCGCU